This 481-nucleotide ribosomal RNA is filed under the name uncultured bacterium. RNAcentral's name for it is "bacterial SSU rRNA". It matches the Rfam family "Bacterial small subunit ribosomal RNA", at positions 501 to 985 of the family's 1533-position model. The record is from RNAcentral.
CUACGUGCCAGCAGCCGCGGUAAUACGGAAGGUUCGGGCGUUAUCCGGAUUUAUUGGGUUUAAAGGGAGCGUAGGCUGGAGAUUAAGUGUGUUGUGAAAUGUAGACGCUCAACGUCUGAAUUGCAGCGCAUACUGGUUUCCUUGAGUACGCACAACGUUGGCGGAAUUCGUCGUGUAGCGGUGAAAUGCUUAGAUAUGACGAAGAACUCCGAUUGCGAAGGCAGCUGACGGGAGCGCAACUGACGCUUAAGCUCGAAGGUGCGGGUACCAAACAGGAUUGGAUACCCUGGUAGUCCGCACAGUAAACGAUGGAUGCCCGCUGUUGGUACCUGGUAUCAGCGGCUAAGCGAAAGCAUUAAGCAUCCCACCUGGGGAGUACGCCGGCAACGGUGAAACUCAAAGGAAUUGACGGGGGCCCGCACAAGCGGAGGAACAUGUGGUUUAAUUCGAUGAUACGCGAGGAACCUUACCCGGGCUUGAA